RNAcentral lists this transfer RNA (78 nucleotides) under Nitrospira sp. ST-bin4. RNAcentral's name for it is "tRNA-Val". It matches the Rfam family "tRNA". Rfam says of the family: Transfer RNA (tRNA) molecules are approximately 80 nucleotides in length. Their secondary structure includes four short double-helical elements and three loops (D, anti-codon, and T loops). Further hydrogen bonds mediate the characteristic L-shaped molecular structure. tRNAs have two regions of fundamental functional importance: the anti-codon, which is responsible for specific mRNA codon recognition, and the 3' end, to which the tRNAs corresponding amino acid is attached (by aminoacyl-tRNA synthetases). tRNAs cope with the degeneracy of the genetic code in two manners: having more than one tRNA (with a specific anti-codon) for a particular amino acid; and 'wobble' base-pairing, i.e. permitting non-standard base-pairing at the 3rd anti-codon position. Lineage: Bacteria; Pseudomonadati; Nitrospirota; Nitrospiria; Nitrospirales; Nitrospiraceae. The record is from RNAcentral.
GGGCGGAUAGCUCAGUUGGGAGAGCGCUGCCCUUACAAGGCAGAGGUCACAGGUUCGAUCCCUGUUCCGCCNNUACCA